Molecule: ribosomal RNA, 555 nt
Filed under: Colletotrichum gloeosporioides
Lineage: Eukaryota; Fungi; Ascomycota; Sordariomycetes; Glomerellales; Glomerellaceae
Description: eukaryotic LSU rRNA
Rfam family: 5.8S ribosomal RNA (bases 217-370)
Source: RNAcentral
AGCGUAACAAGGUCUCCGUUGGUGAACCAGCGGAGGGAUCAUUACUGAGUUUACGCUCUACAACCCUUUGUGAACAUACCUACAACUGUUGCUUCGGCGGGUAGGGUCUCCGCGACCCUCCCGGCCUCCCGCCUCCGGGCGGGUCGGCGCCCGCCGGAGGAUAACCAAACUCUGAUUUAACGACGUUUCUUCUGAGUGGUACAAGCAAAUAAUCAAAACUUUUAACAACGGAUCUCUUGGUUCUGGCAUCGAUGAAGAACGCAGCGAAAUGCGAUAAGUAAUGUGAAUUGCAGAAUUCAGUGAAUCAUCGAAUCUUUGAACGCACAUUGCGCCCGCCAGCAUUCUGGCGGGCAUGCCUGUUCGAGCGUCAUUUCAACCCUCAAGCUCUGCUUGGUGUUGGGGCCCUACAGCCGAUGUAGGCCCUCAAAGGUAGUGGCGGACCCUCCCGGAGCCUCCUUUGCGUAGUAACUUUACGUCUCGCACUGGGAUCCGGAGGGACUCUUGCCGUAAAACCCCCCAAUUUCCAAAGGUGACCUCGGAUCAGUAGAAUGUCAU